RNAcentral lists this unclassified non-coding RNA (1478 nucleotides) under Leishmania donovani. RNAcentral describes it as "gene:LdHU3.06.0430(CDS-product:hypothetical_prote in_conserved)". The record is from RNAcentral. Lineage: Eukaryota; Euglenozoa; Kinetoplastea; Trypanosomatida; Trypanosomatidae.
UAGCUACCGCAUUCUGUGAAGAAGAGGCAAAGAUGUCUCAGCUUCAGAGCCAAGUGAAAACUUGUGUCGAUGACAUCGAGGAUGUGUUAGCGUCCUCUGAUAGUCUCUUCAGCAACGAGGUCCACAAUAGGCUUAGUGCGACGUAUCAACGAUUUCUGCAGCAUGUGUGGUGCGAGGUUCCAAUGAACAGCGCAGAUGGAUCGGCCCUCGCAACAGUGUCUUGCAUGCCAAUAUGGGAGCUUUUGAAUCAACACACAAGCGCAUGCGUGCUCUCUGCAGCACCAGAGAAAGCUAUCGCCGUGCAGCUGCUGAGCUCAAUGUACCCCAAGUCAAAGGACCGCCGAUGCGUGUUCCAGCAGCCCAGCUGUUAUGGGAGCAACAGCCAGACUGCAGUGCCACUGAGCACACACGUUCCAAUUCAAAUGUUCGUUCCCGAUAAUUCCAGCGCUGAACAAAACCUCGAAUACGUGAAGGCCGCCCAACGCAUCUUGAGAAUAGCGACAGUUGGAAAUUAUACAGAUGCGAAGGAGUCCGCUUCAGUCGCCUCUGCGGUGCGCACGUUUAUCAAUACUGUGCUCCCAAGAUGCACGCUUAUCUCUCACCCCGGAGAGCUCCCGAAACACACAAGAGGAGAAGUGCACAUUCUUUGGGACAGUCCCACAUGUGAUUGGUCAUCUGGGAGAAUUUUUCUCCUCACACUUUGGUGCCUUCUUGUUGCUGCCGAGUACCUGAGCCUUCCGGAAGCUAGAAACCUCUCUUUAUUCCUCUGCAGCUCGCGCUGGUCGACGCGCCUGGUUGAACUCGAUGGACGUAAGGUUAGCUACAGUGAGCUCCUGUCUCCUCUUCUGGACAUUUGCUCAUUGUGCCUGUCUGUGAAUCCGCGAUCUGUUUCAGCCUCUGUGGACACAGUACCGCUCAUCGACCCGCGUGUCAUGCCCUUUCUAAUGGGUAGUGGUAUCAAGGAAGAGCACUAUGAGAUCGGUGCAAGCUUUGCAACGGAGUACAGUGCGAAACCAGCAACGAAAGGCAAAAAGUCGUUGACGCUUCGUCGCGCAGAGUGCGUAAGGGAACAGCUGAUGGAGAGUAUCCCAAAUGAGAUCGGAUUUAUGGGCACCAGCUCCUCUUGUCGUGAUUUUGACCAGCUGGCAUAUUUGUGCCGAGAUUGUCUUUUUGUACCAACCACCAAAAGUAUAGCAAGCGGAAUUUCCGCUUCCAGGCGCCGUGAUAUGCUGUUCAACAGGAAAAGGACGCGAAGUAUAUCAAGCUCGGAUGGGCCUUGCUUUAUUCCUGUCAAGUCUGCUGUGACCAACAUGCUUGAAAAAACUGACACUGAUGCACUGGUGACACUAGAAAGGCUAUGCUGCAAGUGGAGGGAAGAUGCGGCAUGAUUUUGUCCACUCUUGUUGACUGUGCAAGCAUUGUUCUUGGAUUUAUGUUGUUUUUCAUGUGAAACACAAAAAUAGUAAUAAAAAACAAAC